UACGUAGGGUGCGAGCGUUAAUCGGAAUUACUGGGCGUAAAGCGUGCGCAGGCGGCGCGUUAAGACAGGUGUGAAAGCCCCGAGCUUAACUUGGGAAUUGCGCUUGUGACUGGCGUGCUGGAGUGUGGCAGAGGGAGGUAGAAUUCCACGUGUAGCAGUGAAAUGCGUAGAGAUGUGGAGGAAUACCGAUGGCGAAGGCAGCCUCCUGGGCUGACACUGACGCUCAGGCACGAAAGCGUGGGGAGCAAACAGG
This 253-nucleotide ribosomal RNA is filed under the name uncultured bacterium. Its description in RNAcentral is "partial 16S ribosomal RNA". It matches the Rfam family "Bacterial small subunit ribosomal RNA", at positions 524 to 776 of the family's 1533-position model. The record is from RNAcentral.